This 465-nucleotide ribosomal RNA is filed under the name Vreelandella stevensii. Its description in RNAcentral is "partial 16S ribosomal RNA". It matches the Rfam family "Bacterial small subunit ribosomal RNA", at positions 338 to 795 of the family's 1533-position model. Lineage: Bacteria; Pseudomonadati; Pseudomonadota; Gammaproteobacteria; Oceanospirillales; Halomonadaceae. The record is from RNAcentral.
CCUACGGGAGGCUGCAGUGGGGAAUAUUGGACAAUGGGCGAAAGCCUGAUCCAGCCAUGCCGCGUGUGUGAAGAAGGCCUUCGGGUUGUAAAGCACUUUCAGUGGGGAAGAAAGCCUUGGGGCUAAUACCCUCGAGGAAGGACAUCACCCACAGAAGAAGCACCGGCUAACUCCGUGCCAGCAGCCGCGGUAAUACGGAGGGUGCGAGCGUUAAUCGGAAUUACUGGGCGUAAAGCGCGCGUAGGCGGUCUGAUAAGCCGGUUGUGAAAGCCCCGGGCUCAACCUGGGAACGGCAUCCGGAACUGUCAGGCUAGAGUGCAGGAGAGGAAGGUAGAAUUCCCGGUGUAGCGGUGAAAUGCGUAGAGAUCGGGAGGAAUACCAGUGGCGAAGGCGGUCUUCUGGACUGACACUGACGCUGAGGUGCGAAAGCGUGGGUAGCAAACAGGAUUAGAUACCCCUGUAGUC